This 254-nucleotide ribosomal RNA is filed under the name uncultured bacterium. RNAcentral's name for it is "partial 16S ribosomal RNA". It matches the Rfam family "Bacterial small subunit ribosomal RNA", at positions 524 to 776 of the family's 1533-position model. The record is from RNAcentral.
CACGUAGGGUGCGAGCGUUGUCCGGAAUUAUUGGGCGUAAAGAGCUCGUAGGCGGUGUGUCGCGUCGGCCGUGAAAACUUGGGGCUUAACUCUGAGCGUGCGGUCGGUACGGGCAUCACUUGAGUUCGGCAGGGGAGACUGGAAUUCCUGGUGUAGCGGUGAAAUGCGCAGAUAUCAGGAGGAACACCGGUGGCGAAGGCGGGUCUCUGGGCCGAUACUGACGCUGAGGAGCGAAAGCAUGGGGAGCGAACAGG